Molecule: long non-coding RNA, 1339 nt
Filed under: Sus scrofa (pig)
Lineage: Eukaryota; Metazoa; Chordata; Mammalia; Artiodactyla; Suidae
Description: lncRNA (ENSSSCG00055009166.1)
Source: RNAcentral
AAUUACUUUUUUUUUUUUUUUUUUUUUAGUUGGGGCUCAAAUUUUAAUCUACCUUUGGAUUCCUUAAUUUGGAAACUGGAGUGGAUUCAAAACGAGACUCCAGGAAUUGAGAGUCACAACCUACCAGAGCAGCCAGAACACAGCACUAAUCGUGGGAAGCAAAGGACAGAAAGAUUCCUGAGACCCAGCAAAAUGCCAAGCAAGAAGCAAGAAACAGCUGGCUGCCCAGACUGUCCCAGGACCGUGCUGGUGAUGGAAAGGCUCUCUGUGGGCUUCUUUCUUACCAUCCCCUUGAUAGACUGCAGUUGUCAGAGGGAAAGACAGGCAGGCAUCUCAUAGGAAAGUCUUUCAGUGUAAAGAAAAGCCACCCAUCAGCAGCAGCUCACAGGGACAGCAAAAUGCCCAACUUCUUGGCAUUUGGGAUUUUCCAGGAAAGAUAGGCUAACUUGAAAACAAAGUCUGUUUUUAGGAUAUGUGCAAGUGCCUUCAGGGAAGCUGUUUGGGUGAAGUAGGUGUUCCCCGCCCCAAAUAGCUGGUUUGUUUGGUGAGCUGUAGGGGCAUAUUGGGUGCAGCUAAAUUGAUCUGAACAAUUUUCAAUCUUACAUCAUAAAAAAUAGUAUGGAGCAAAGCCUUCUGCCUUUAGGGAAUGAAGUACUCAUUUCUCAAUUGGUCAUUGAGAGUUAACAGCAGAUUGAGUGAGCAACCCCUGAAAAGAGGAGACAUUGGCUUAAUUCCGUGUUGUUACAGAGCUCAGCAUGCAGGUUGAUAUACACAGGGAGAGGUUGGCAGGCAGCUCCUUCACAUAAUAAUAUUCAUUCUUCUGAAUGGCUCAUUAAUAUUGUAUAUAUUCCUCUUUGGCCGUGCCCUCAUGUCUCCUCUCUGGACUGAGUCAGGCUCCCAGGACUCAGAGGUAAAAAAGAAGAGAAAGGAUAGAUGUGGAUUUUCAUGGAGUCGACGGCAGGCUGCUGUUUAUGACAGCUCCACGGCCAUGAAAAAUGUCAAGGAAACAAAAUAGGAAGACAAAUCCGUGGCAGGAAUUGGUUUCGGAUAACCAGUCAGCUGAUUAUCUCCUGAGUCUACGCCCCGUGCAUCUUGGUAGGUGUGUCUGUUUCAGAUCCAGGCAGUAACUCAUCAUUAUAGCGUCUUUCGUUCUCCCAACCCCUCACCUCCUGCAGUAGGAAAGUUUAUAUGCACAAGCCAUUUUGUCUUUGCCAUCUAAUUACCUGAAGACUAAGAGGAGCAUACUUAUUUGGGCCAAAAAAAGUACAGCCCUCAGAGGAAAAUGCACUAGACCUUGGCCUUGAAGGUGACAGGGGCUGGGCGGGUGGUGAGGGGCUUG